GGAUCAAUAUGUUGGUCGUGCCUUGGUACGUACUAGUUUAUUGGUUUCCUCCUUCCUGAUGAACCUUAAUGCCAUUAAUUUGGUGUCUUGGGGAAUCAGGACUGUUACUUUGAAAAAAUUAGAGUGUUUAAAGCAGGCUCACGCUUGAAUACAUUAGCAUGGAAUAAUGAAAUAGGACGUUUGAUUCUAUUUUGUUGGUUUCUAGGAUCGACGUA
This 215-nucleotide ribosomal RNA is filed under the name Campeiostachys nutans. RNAcentral describes it as "Elymus nutans partial small subunit ribosomal RNA". The stretch from base 37 to 215 matches the Rfam family "Eukaryotic small subunit ribosomal RNA", at positions 684 to 864 of the family's 1831-position model. The record is from RNAcentral. Lineage: Eukaryota; Viridiplantae; Streptophyta; Magnoliopsida; Poales; Poaceae.